GUACCUUCAAGCUUUGCUUGGUGUUGGGUGUUUGUCCUGAGGGACUCGCCUUAAAGUAAUUGGCAGCCAGUGUUUGGUUUUGAAGCGCAGCACAAGUCGCGAUUCAAGGCUAUACACCAGCUUCCACAAGCCUUAUUUACCCAA
Molecule: unclassified non-coding RNA, 144 nt
Filed under: Paraphoma chrysanthemicola
Lineage: Eukaryota; Fungi; Ascomycota; Dothideomycetes; Pleosporales; Phaeosphaeriaceae
Description: partial internal transcribed spacer 2
Source: RNAcentral